CACAGGGAGAGGAAAAACAGUCCAGCAGAACGAACACACAGACGCUUCAGACUCAUUUUCCUUCAGGUCUUUAUUUGAGUCAAAGUCAAUGGACUGAAAACAGAACAGAACCCACUGGACCAGAGGUCAGAGGUCGUAGCUGAACUGAAGGACAGACAUUAUGGACGCAUCAGCCCCAGUUCAAACCAAACAACCAGAGAAGAACCAACAGCACAGUGGGGAGGAGGAUCCGACCCAGUGCUACUGUGCCGAUCUGGGUGAAGGAGGGGGAGGAGGAGGAGAAGGGGGAGGAGGAGG
Sphaeramia orbicularis (orbiculate cardinalfish) is the source of this 297-nucleotide long non-coding RNA. RefSeq lists it as uncharacterized. The transcript is spliced from 3 exons. The record is from RefSeq and is a predicted model, not a curated record. NCBI's taxonomy places the organism in Eukaryota, Metazoa, Chordata, Actinopteri, Kurtiformes, Apogonidae.